This 144-nucleotide ribosomal RNA is filed under the name Staphylococcus aureus. RNAcentral's name for it is "partial 23S ribosomal RNA". It matches the Rfam family "Bacterial large subunit ribosomal RNA", at positions 1 to 144 of the family's 2925-position model. The record is from RNAcentral. Lineage: Bacteria; Bacillati; Bacillota; Bacilli; Caryophanales; Staphylococcaceae.
GAUUAAGUUAUUAAGGGCGCACGGUGGAUGCCUUGGCACUAGAAGCCGAUGAAGGACGUUACUAACGACGAUAUGCUUUGGGGAGCUGUAAGUAAGCUUUGAUCCAGAGAUUUCCGAAUGGGGAAACCCAGCAUGAGUUAUGUC